RNAcentral lists this long non-coding RNA (3440 nucleotides) under Homo sapiens (human). Its description in RNAcentral is "non-protein coding lnc-ZNF536-8:16". Lineage: Eukaryota; Metazoa; Chordata; Mammalia; Primates; Hominidae. The record is from RNAcentral.
GCAGGAGCGCUCGGAGUUGUGGGGUACGGACCCCAGGCGGGGCAGGGAGUCCGAGGCGGGCUGCGGCGGGGCUCUCGGGCUGGCGGACUCGGGGGCUGAGGCGCCGUGCGCGUUGGGUGCCCGCGGCCGCAGAGGCCAGAACCGCUACUCCUCCAGGCCGGGGAGACGCGGCCGUGGAGCGUGAAACGCUUCUUGCAAGCGAGGAAACGGUGAGUUGGCCGACACCGCCGGCGGCCUCACCAUUCUGGUGGCCGCGCUGAGCUCCUGUCGCCUGGAGGCGGGUUGCGCCGCACGGGGUCAGCUCCCGCCGGCUCCCAGCUCACCUUCGAAGCUCCCACUUAGGCGCGCCCGGUGCGGCGUGUGCACAGCGCGGGGCGCCGCACACGGAAGCGUGUAGUUCUCCCUGGUCGCGCUUUUCUCCUCCUUUCCAUCCCCUCGCUGUUCUUGCAAACCUCUGUUCCUUCGGCCCCCUCCCACUGCGGGCCGCGGCCUGAACUCGGGUCUCCGCGUAGCCGGCCGCCGCCGCUGGGUCGCUGCCUGGCCCUCCCCCGCUCAGGCGCCGAGCGCUGUGCGAUCCGCCCUAACAUCUGUCCGUCCAACCAUUGGCGCAUCCAUCAGUGUCAAUGGGCUGCACAUUGCAGCGACAGCCCGCCACGCACAACACGGGCUAUGCGGAGUGCACGCAGCAACCAUACUGCCAUGUCGGGACACGCAAAAAGGCCCCCGGCCUGGCUUGGCACAGCCUGAAGGCCUAAUCUGUGUUCUUUCAGCCACAUGUACCCACCCCCACUUAAUAUCUGGACCCCCAAACAUGAAUAGUUUUGCAGACCAUUGUAGGGAUGGAAUUGAAGGAAGAGGGGCAGUGUCGCCCGAGUCAUUAUUUUCCACCAGGUUUUCUCUGCCCUUGUGUGGGCUGGGUGUGGCUAGGAGAGAAGGAAGGGAGACUUCCCAAAUCCGCACCAAGCACACUGCAGAACCGGAAGCUACCUGGAUGCAAGGGCUUAAACCCCCUUCACCUGGGCCUAGGAUGUGUUGUCGAGGUCGCUGGCCAGGUUUUAGCCAGGAGGUCUCGCGCUAAAACUUUUUGGCCCCGCCUGGCUGCUGUGUGUGACAUGGCCUGAUGGAGAGGAGCUGGAGAGCGGAGGAAAACGUGGAUCCCAGUGAGAACUAAGGGCCAGAUUUAGGGAGAAAUAGUGUCUGGAUGGCAGUAAGUCUGUAAUUCACAUUUUGUUUACAAAGGGAGAAAGGGCAGGGCUGUAGGUUUGAGAAGCCAGAGGUUUGCGCGGAGUUCCGUGUGCCCAUUCCCCGAGAGUGCCGCUCUUGGCUGUAGUUGUUUGUUCUACCUGAUUUUGCCUCUUGCCUUCAACUCCCCCAUAACCCCUCCCCAAAUGUCCAGAGGGCAAACAUAUGCGCAUACCUCCCUGAUCAAUCCAGCCAGACCAAAGGGCCUUCCCUGUCCUCCCCCUAAGAACUUAAUGGGAAGAGUGUACGGGGGACCUACUCUUGGGACAUCUGCAGGGCGGCUGUACCAGGCGUUUUACCUGACUUUAUUCUUACCGCAAAGAUUUCCGUCUCGGUACCUGGUGCCCCCUCAGAGUCCACUACACAAACGGGUAAAAUCCCGCGCGGCUAUUCAUUUCGCCAUUCGCGAGUAAGAAGGGGAAAAGGAGCCGCUUCUAGGAGAGCACUGAGGUAUGCUCGGUUCGGUUCCCGAGGAGGCCAGAAGCGGCCGCGGCGGCGCGGGCUGGAGCUCCCUCCUGCAGGGAGACACCGCGCUCUAGGGUGCGGGCUUCGCCGCCCACAUCCAGUGGUCGAACUGUUUUCACGCUAGACUAGAGGGCGGAAAAGUCUGCGCCCGCGGAGAAACUAGAAUUCUGUAGAAUGUACACUGUGUAGAAAUCUUUUCACCCCACUCUUCAGAGUUGCAGAUUAUCUUUGAAAAACAACAGGCUCUGGCCCUGCCAGCCCUAGUAACUUCUACCCGCCUGAGUCACUCUGAAAAGUAAGCCCCUAGGCCAGUGAGAUGUCCCCACCUUUGGGAGGUGCCGCCUUUCCGGGAACAUUAAAAAAAAAACCCUAAAAAUAGAAGGAGGAAAAAUGAGCAAAGGCGGUGGGACGACUCACCGAAACACCGAGGUGCAAAUGUCCAUUGGAGAAACUGGCAGUCGCAUGGCAGCCAGCUGGCUCACCCAAUAGCUGGGUGGUAACCUUGUGAUCCCCAAACAUCCCCCAGGGCCAUGAAGGCAGUGCUGACCCCCACGAUUGCACCUCAGGCCCGGUGGAAUCCCGCUCCUCCUCCAUAGUGGUGCUAUGUAAUCAGUAGAAAAUCAGUAGAAAAGCUCCCAAAUGAAGCUGCUUCAGGUCAGGGGUUAGAAAUCUGCCUCAGACUUUUUGAACUCAAGGAAAUCGGGACAUCUGUCCCCAGAGCUACCUGUGCCCCACCCCAGGAUCAUUCAUGACCUUAGCUACCGGGAGCUCUGCCCGGAUAAGUUUUUAAAAGAGAGAGAGAAAGAAAAAAGUCACAUGCAGGCAAGGCUAGGAACAGGUGUGUGCUGUGGGGACGGGCACUUGGCUCGCAACACACCACACAAAGUCACGAAGUCUGUGCCAGAAAGGAGUAGCCAAACCACCGCCGGGAGGCAGCCGAGGUUGUGUUUAAGGUGGCGAUUGAGGGCAGUAGGUGACAACUCGACCCAAAGAAGGCCAAGUCUUGUCCUUAUCUGGGGUGGCCACUGAGGGAAAAGACUUAAGGGAAAGAAGUUGUCUUCAAAGCUACCAUUACAAGAUGAGGAGCUAGAGUGGGCUCAGGUCCCAGGCACCCAGGGCUUAAGCCUUGAUGUUGGAGAGGUUCUCGGAGGGAGGCUUGGGCCACCUGGAGGGACUGGGCACUCUGAGUAGUACCCUCUGGGAGGCUGUACCCCCUUUCAAAGUGUGAGGGCAUUUGCCCAAGGUGUAGGCUUUUAGGGAGCCCAGGGCUGGGCAGCACCAGGGGAGAGAGGCACCAGGUGGGUGCCCUCCUGCCUGCACUCACCUGGAAUGCUGGCAUAUGGGUUUUUCGCCUUCCUCACGCCUCCCCACACCACAUUCUGGGCUAGGCAGUGUCGAGGAGGUGCCUUGGGUUCAGGGAAGCUUGCCACCUGCACACCUGAACCAGGAAUUGGGCCCCGGAAUCUCAGCCCCUGCCCAAGCAGGAAGGAUAGGGACCCUGGCCCUCGCCAGGUGGUAAAUUGUUUGCUAAAAGUGCAUUUACACGGCGGCGAAGUUUGUUUCUCUUUUACCGGUAGCUUUGUUUUAACGAACCAGAUGUUUUGUCUGUAAAUUCUCCCAAGAACUUUUCCAGUUUUGACGUGAAAUAAACCUUCGAAAAUCAGAAGAGUAUAUUAAUACCACUUCUGUGGGGCCUCAGGAGAGCUGAGUCAGGUGUGCCUGGAUGGGAGCUG